UACAGAGGUCUCAAGCGUUGUUCGGAUUCAUUGGGCGUAAAGGGUGCGUAGGUGGCGCGGUAAGUCGGGGGUGAAAUCUCGGGGCUUAACUCCGAAACUGCAUUCGAUACUGCCGUGCUUGAGGACUGGAGAGGAGACUGGAAUUUACGGUGUAGCGGUGAAAUGCGUAGAUAUCGUAAGGAAGACCAGUGGCGAAGGCGGGUCUCUGGACAGUUCCUGACGCUGAGGCACGAAGGCCAGGGGAGCAAACGGG
RNAcentral lists this ribosomal RNA (253 nucleotides) under uncultured bacterium. RNAcentral describes it as "partial 16S ribosomal RNA". It matches the Rfam family "Bacterial small subunit ribosomal RNA", at positions 524 to 776 of the family's 1533-position model. The record is from RNAcentral.